RNAcentral lists this ribosomal RNA (261 nucleotides) under Serratia nematodiphila. Its description in RNAcentral is "partial 16S ribosomal RNA". It matches the Rfam family "Bacterial small subunit ribosomal RNA", at positions 1281 to 1533 of the family's 1533-position model. Lineage: Bacteria; Pseudomonadati; Pseudomonadota; Gammaproteobacteria; Enterobacterales; Yersiniaceae. The record is from RNAcentral.
GUACGUCGUAGUCCGGAUUGGAGUCUGCAACUCGACUCCAUGAAGUCGGAAUCGCUAGUAAUCGUAGAUCAGAAUGCUACGGUGAAUACGUUCCCGGGCCUUGUACACACCGCCCGUCACACCAUGGGAGUGGGUUGCAAAAGAAGUAGGUAGCUUAACCUUCGGGAGGGCGCUUACCACUUUGUGAUUCAUGACUGGGGUGAAGUCGUAACAAGGUAACCGUAGGGGAACCUGCGGUUGGAUCACCUCCUUACCUAAAGA